UAAGGAAUAUUGGUCAAUGGACGCAAGUCUGAACCAGCCAUGCCGCGUGAAGGAUGAAGGUCCUCUGGAUUGUAAACUUCUUUUAUCUGGGACGAAAACGGGAUUUUUAUCUCAAUUGACGGUACCAGAGGAAUAAGCACCGGCUAACUCCGUGCCAGCAGCCGCGGUAAUACGGAGGGUGCGAGCGUUAUCCGGAUUUACUGGGUUUAAAGGGUGCGUAGGUGGGCUUAUAAGUCAGUGGUGAAAUCUCCGAGCUUAACUUGGAAACUGCCGUUGAUACUAUAGGCCUUGAAUUAUCUGGAGGUAAGCGGAAUAUGUCAUGCAGCGGUGAAAUGCUUAGAUAUGACAUAGAACACCAAUUGCGAAGGCAGCUUACUACAUAUAAAUUGACGCUGAGGCACGAAAGCGUGGGGAUCAAACA
Molecule: ribosomal RNA, 421 nt
Filed under: uncultured bacterium
Lineage: Bacteria
Description: bacterial SSU rRNA
Rfam family: Bacterial small subunit ribosomal RNA
Source: RNAcentral